RNAcentral lists this ribosomal RNA (254 nucleotides) under uncultured bacterium. RNAcentral describes it as "partial 16S ribosomal RNA". It matches the Rfam family "Bacterial small subunit ribosomal RNA", at positions 524 to 776 of the family's 1533-position model. The record is from RNAcentral.
UACAGAGGUCCCGAGCGUUGUUCGGAUUCAUUGGGCGUAAAGGGUGCGUAGGCGGUUUUCUAAGUUUGAUGUGAAAUCCCGGGGCUUUAACCCUGGAAUUGCAUUGAAUACUGGGAGACUAGAGUACUGGAGAGGAAACUGGAAUUUACGGUGUAGCAGUGAAAUGCGUAGAGAUCGUAAGGAAGACCAGUGGCGAAGGCGAGUUUCUGGACAGUGACUGACGCUGAGACACGAAAGCGUGGGGAGCAAACAGG